UGUUCCUACGGGGCGCAGCAGUGGGGAAUAUUGCACAAUGGGGGAAACCCUGAUGCAGCGACGCCGCGUGAGUGAAGAAGUAAGUCGUUAUGUAAAGUUCUAUCAGCAGGGAAGAAAAUGACGGUACCUGAGUAAGAAGCCCCGGCUAACUACGUGCCAGCAGCCGCGGUAAUACGUAGGGGGCAAGCGUUAUCCGGAUUUACUGGGGGUAAAGGGAGCGUAGACGGCAGUGCAAGUCUGGAGUGAAAGGCGGGGGCGCAACCCCCGGACUGCUCUGGAAACUGUAUGGCUGGAGUGCAG
This 300-nucleotide ribosomal RNA is filed under the name uncultured bacterium. RNAcentral describes it as "bacterial SSU rRNA". It matches the Rfam family "Bacterial small subunit ribosomal RNA", at positions 334 to 651 of the family's 1533-position model. The record is from RNAcentral.